ACGCUUUUUCUUUCACCGGAGCUUGCUCCACCGAAAGAAAAGGAGUGGCGAACGGGUGAGUAACACGUGGGUAACCUGCCCAUCAGAAGGGGAUAACACUUGGAAACAGGUGCUAAUACCGUAUAACAAUCGAAACCGCAUGGUUUCGGUUUGAAAGGCGCUUUUGCGUCACUGAUGGAUGGACCCGCGGUGCAUUAGCUAGUUGGUGAGGUAACGGCUCACCAAGGCAACGAUGCAUAGCCGACCUGAGAGGGUGAUCGGCCACAUUGGGACUGAGACACGGCCCAAACUCCUACGGGAGGCAGCAGUAGGGAAUCUUCGGCAAUGGACGCAAGUCUGACCGAGCAACGCCGCGUGAGUGAAGAAGGUUUUCGGAUCGUAAAACUCUGUUGUUAGAGAAGAACAAGGAUGAGAGUAAAAUGUUCAUCCCUUGACGGUAUCUAACCAGAAAGCCACGGCUAACUACGUGCCAGCAGCCGCGGUAAUACGUAGGUGGCAAGCGUUGUCCGGAUUUAUUGGGCGUAAAGCGAGCGCAGGCGGUUUCUUAAGUCUGAUGUGAAAGCCCCCGGCUCAACCGGGGAGGGUCAUUGGAAACUGGGGAACUUGAGUGCAGAAGAGGAGAGUGGAAUUCCAUGUGUAGCGGUGAAAUGCGUAGAUAUAUGGAGGAACACCAGUGGCGAAGGCGGCUCUCUGGUCUGUAACUGACGCUGAGGCUCGAAAGCGUGGGGAGCAAACAGG
This 738-nucleotide ribosomal RNA is filed under the name uncultured Bacilli bacterium. RNAcentral's name for it is "bacterial SSU rRNA". It matches the Rfam family "Bacterial small subunit ribosomal RNA", at positions 66 to 776 of the family's 1533-position model. The record is from RNAcentral. Lineage: Bacteria; Bacillati; Bacillota; Bacilli.